RNAcentral lists this ribosomal RNA (429 nucleotides) under uncultured bacterium. RNAcentral's name for it is "bacterial SSU rRNA". It matches the Rfam family "Bacterial small subunit ribosomal RNA", at positions 355 to 776 of the family's 1533-position model. The record is from RNAcentral.
UGGGGAAUAUUGGACAAUGGGCGCAAGCCUGAUCCAGCAAUGCCGCGUGUGUGAAGAAGGCCUUCGGGUUGUAAAGCACUUUUAUCAGGAACGAAAAGCGUGGGGUUAAUACCCGUACGUGCUGACGGUACCUGAGGAAUAAGCACCGGCUAACUUCGUGCCAGCAGCCGCGGUAAUACGAAGGGUGCAAGCGUUAAUCGGAAUUACUGGGCGUAAAGCGUGCGUAGAUGGUUUGUUAAGUCGAAUGUGAAAGCCCCGGGCUCAACCUGGGAACUGCAUCCGAUACUGGCAGACUAGAGUGUGGUAGAGGAUGGCGGAAUUCCCGGUGUAGCGGUGAAAUGCGUAGAGAUCGGGAGGAACAUCCGUGGCGAAGGCGGCCAUCUGGACCAACACUGACGUUGAGGCACGAAAGCGUGGGGAGCAAACAGG